This is an RNA transcript of Nasonia vitripennis (jewel wasp), 1645 nucleotides long. RefSeq lists it as uncharacterized. The record is from RefSeq and is a predicted model, not a curated record. NCBI's taxonomy places the organism in Eukaryota, Metazoa, Arthropoda, Insecta, Hymenoptera, Pteromalidae. The transcript has 2 exons.
UCAGAAUUUCAAAACUUACUUAGAACAAAAAAGAAAGGUUAAAAACCACAUUAUAAUAGGUGAUUUUAAUAUAAACAUACAGGAUCAUAAUCUUAUAAGCAUGGAUUUCCUAAAUAACCUACUAGAAAACAGCUUCCUUCCAGGAUUUACAAAUACUACCAGACCAUCAAAUAUAACUUCGAAUGAAGGAACGUGUAUUGACAAUAUCCUCAUCAAAACGGAAUUCCUAAAUACAAAAGCACUAACACUAAAGGUGCAUAUAACAGAUCGUUACCUAUUAUUUCUAGAAAUAAAAAAUGGUACACUUAAUCCAAACAACAAAGAGACAAAGACUGACAUGGUUUAUUACAACUACAAAAAAUUAUUCAAUACUGCUAGACAAAUAGACUGGACAAAAUUCAAAAAUAAAAAAGAUCCAAAUGAAAAUGUAAAUGAAAUAAUAAAUGAAAUUCGAUUAUGCAUUGAAAAAUCAAUAUAUAAAAAACAAAAAAUAAAUAAAUCAAAGAAAACACCCAGGAAAGACUGGAUAACAAGUGCAAUUUUUAACUCGUGCAAUACUAAAGAAAUUUUAUACAAUAGAUUAAAACAAAAUCCAGACAACGUUGAACUCAAGGCAGAAUACAAAAAAUUUGUUAAAACUCUAGAUAAAGUAAUUAAGGCAGCUAAAAUCGAAUAUGAUAGGAAAAAAAUUGAGAGCAACAGUAAUGAUCCCAGAAAUUCUGGGCCUGCAUAAAUCACAAAAUAGGCAAAAGUAAGAAUAAAUCUGACACUAAUAUUAAUCAGUUAAAAUUGAAGAUAACACAAUAAUCAAAAAUAGUAGUGAAAUUGCUAAUAAAAUGAAUGAGUUUUACUGCAAACUUGGAGAAACAUUGAGUAACAAAAUAACUAUACCAAAGGAUAGACAGUUAGAACUACCUAAAAACAAUCCAAAAACAAUUUGCAUUAAACCUACGCGAAGGGCAAAUGUAAAUUAUACAAUAAUCGCAAACAUCAACGGAUUUACAACUACAAUUACAACAAAAUGAUAAAUGCAUACUCAAAUAUAACGACCGUCUAGACAAUCUAACAAACGAAAUAAUAAAUGAAUGGACCUAUAAAACUAAAGAUGAAAAAACAAGUAUCAAAUUCAUAAAAUUCGACAAAGCAACAACCAAUGAAUUGGAAGUCAAAAAAGACUCAAGCAUUGAAAAAUAUAAACCAAUAGAAACAGCCUUCACCAGGAUCGAUGAAAUGGCCGAAGAAAACAGCAAUAAAGCUAGGAAAAAGGAAGCGACAUCUGCACCAGGACAGAAGAUCACAGAAUCAGCUAAACACAGAAUGACUUAUGGCGAUAUCAACUAUCUAGGAUCUAACAAGGCAUUUUUCUACUUUGAUAGAGGUAUAAGAGACUGUAAAUGUGAUUCAUCAAAUCAGCAUAAUGAGAUGUUUUCACACUACCGAGAAACCUGUGCCGUUGGGCUUACGUGCCCAGCAAGGCUCAGCACAACAUGUUGGUAAGGAGAUGGUGAAAAUAAAGUGCAACUUUAAAUUAUUAAGUUAUAGAUAUAAAAAAAAAUUAAGUGACAAUACAAAAUAUAGAAUCUCAAAUCGUGCAAUAUAAUCUAUCGAAAAAAGAAGUAUAAGUAACAUUAAGUUAAGAGUACAA